Molecule: long non-coding RNA, 611 nt
Organism: Poeciliopsis prolifica (blackstripe livebearer)
Lineage: Eukaryota; Metazoa; Chordata; Actinopteri; Cyprinodontiformes; Poeciliidae
Exons: 5
Source: RefSeq, a predicted model, not a curated record
UCAGUCCGUUGGCGCGGAGUCUGCCUGUUGGCUGAUCUACGAAAGAAUCUGGGUUUUGUCGCCUCAUUCGAGAACUCACCAGUGAAUACCUGCCUGCUCGCUCCGCCGAUUCCACUGCCUCCACUCCACCCUUCGAGCUUCCAGCUCUCUUCCAUUCCCACCUCGCAUUUACCUUCGGAACCGCUGCACACCCUCUCUCAGGAACCUGGCAUCUCACACCCACGCCUCGAAAGACCCGCACCGAAGCUUCAAGAGGAUCAGCGUGUGAAGAUCACUUUAUAAUGAUUUGAAAAAGGUUGCCAUGGCUACAGAAAUUGGAGGAGAGUCCUUAGAUGACACAAUACAACCAGCUGUGCGAUUCCUCAUGUCCCAUGAACUGGAAGUCCAGUUCAACCUUUUUGGCCAACAUUGGAAACAAGCUCUUGGACCUGCGUCUCUUUGAUGUUUUGUAUGGGGACUUAAAAGAAAUUAUCCAUCUACAGAAUCACACAAGCAUACAGCAAAGACUCUCGAAGUGGUUUACUGGAGCCCGAGUGGAAGUGGAAAUAGACUAGAGAGACUGCCAGUUCAAACUCAGGUUGGGGAGGUCUUUCAAGAUGGACAGUUUCAGU